This 1139-nucleotide long non-coding RNA is filed under the name Capsicum annuum. RNAcentral describes it as "long non-coding RNA (CANN_LNC012850)". Lineage: Eukaryota; Viridiplantae; Streptophyta; Magnoliopsida; Solanales; Solanaceae. The record is from RNAcentral.
UAGCAACUCUAACCCUUUCUACUGUUAGAGCAGACUUGCUGCAAGAUAUAAUGCACAGCUGGCAGGAUGAUCCUACACUUAAGAGUUUGAUUGAGCAAUUAGAACAACCUGGAGGGAAUGUCAAGGGGUAUACUGUAUCCACCAACAACUCAGAAGAUAUGGAAAAUUAGUAGUUGGAGCAGAUUCAGUUUUGCGACAUAAUUUGAUCCACUUGUGGCAUGCCUCCCCUCAAGGUGGUCACUCGAGCAUAGAUAAUACUCACAGGAUAUUGGCUUCUUUAUUUUAUUGGAAGGGUAUGAGAGAUGAUGUCGUGACUUACGUCAAGACUUGUGCUAUCUGUCAGAGAAACAAAAAUGAGACCAUUGCUUAUCCUAGAUUGUUGCAAGCUUUUCCUAUUCCCUCUACUACCUGGAGUAGUGUGAGCAUGGAUUUUAUUGAGGGAUUGCCUAAAUCUACGGAUAAGACUACUAUAUGAGUGGUGGUGGAUCGAUUAACCAAAUUUGCUUAUUUUUUUGCCUUAUCUCAUCCCUAUUCUGCCUGUGAUAUCGCCCACCUGUUCAUGGAUAAUAUCUUCAAACUUCAUGGUAUGCCUGCUGAAAUUAUUAGUGAUAGAUAUCCUAUCUUCACUAGCAAGUUUUGGCAAGAACUUUUUGCUAUUCAAGGAUGUCUCUCAAUACUUCAACGGCCUAUCAUCCACAAUCUGAUGGCCAAACUGAAGUUGUUAAUAGAUGUCUCGAAACAUAUCUUCGAUGCUUUUGCUCUAAUUCUCCGAACUUGCUCUUGCACCUAACUUUCCAUGUUUCUCUUCUCAAACCUUGCCAUGCUAUUCCUGAUAGCAUUUGUCACCCCUAGUUCUGAACAUAUCCAGUCCCUUUUGUCCACAGCCACUUAAAAUUCUGGCCCGAAGAUUAAUUUAGAAGGGAAGUAAGGCCAUCGCUCAGUGGUUGAUUCUGUGGGAUCAGUUCCCUGAAGAUCAGGCUACUUGGGAGGAGGCUCACGAGGUUAGACUCAGAUUUCCUUCCUUCCUUGAGGACAAGGAAGUGGUUGUCCAGGGGGACCUGAUACAAUUUACAACGGAACAAUAGAUAGAGCGGUUAGAAGUCGUUAAGGAUAUUUAUUGCAAUUACAAUUAAGUCCCU